This 498-nucleotide ribosomal RNA is filed under the name uncultured bacterium. Its description in RNAcentral is "bacterial SSU rRNA". It matches the Rfam family "Bacterial small subunit ribosomal RNA", at positions 30 to 521 of the family's 1533-position model. The record is from RNAcentral.
AUUGAACGCUGGCGGUAGGCCUAACACAUGCAAGUCGAACGCGAAAGUCCUUCGGGAUGAGUAGAGUGGCGGACGGGUGAGUAACGCGUAGGAAUCUAUCCUGUAGUGGGGGAUAACGUUUCGAAAGGAACGCUAAUACCGCAUACGCCCCAAGGGGGAAAGCGGGGGAUCUUCGGACCUCGUGCUAUAGGAGGAGCCUGCGUCGGAUUAGCUAGUUGGUGAGGUAAAGGCUCACCAAGGCGACGAUCCGUAGCUGGUCUGAGAGGAUGAUCAGCCACACUGGGACUGAGACACGGCCCAGACUCCUACGGGAGGCAGCAGUAGGGAAUAUUGGACAAUGGGCGCAAGCCUGAUCCAGCCAUGCCGCGUGUGUGAAGAAGGUCCUUUUGGUUGUAAAGCACUUUAAGCGAGGAGGAGGCUACUUGGAUUAAUACUCUAGGAUAGUGGACGUUACUCGCAAGAAUAAGCACCGGCUAACUCUGUGCCAGCAGCCGCGGU